CAGUAGCCACGGGAAAACGGAGGGUGCAAGCGUUAUCCGGAUUCACUGGGUUUAAAGGGUGCGUAGGCGGAUCUGUAAGUCAGUGGUGAAAUCUCCAGGCUUAACCUGGAAACUGCCGUUGAUACUAUAGGUCUUGAAUUUUGUGGAGGUUAGCGGAAUAUGUCAUGUAGCGGUGAAAUGCAUAGAUAUGACAUAGAACACCGAUUGCGAAGGCAGCUUACCAAGGCAAAAUUGACGCUGAGGCACGAAAGCGUGGGGAUCGAACAGGAUUAGAUACCCGCGUAGUCCCUGUCUCUUAUAC
Molecule: ribosomal RNA, 301 nt
Filed under: uncultured bacterium
Lineage: Bacteria
Description: partial 16S ribosomal RNA
Rfam family: Bacterial small subunit ribosomal RNA
Source: RNAcentral